AAAGCCUGCAGAGACAGGGAGAAAACCAGGGAUGGUGAGUGUUUUAAGGCUUGAUCCAACAUAUACAGUACGUCUUGCUACUCCAUCAUGGCUUCAGCUAUCAGUCUUUACCUCAGGCUAGAGGUCUUGAUCAAAUGAUAACUCUGGAAUCUGACGUUUGCAUUCACUGCGCGCGUGCGUGCGUGCGUGCGUGCGUGUGUGUGUGUGUCCUCUGACGUCUCCAUGCUGUCUCCCAGUGAUGCAUUAUUGAACAGAGAGCUAUAAAUAGACCACAGCUCCCCAAUCAAUCUAGUCUGAGCACAGAGGAGGAUGUGUGUGUGUUUAUGUGUGUCUUCAUACGCAGGUGGCAAGGCAUGUUGGGGCAGGCAGACACACACACACACACACACACACACACACACACACACAUUUGUGAGGCCCAGAGGGAGACAAUGUACCACUGUACACCUGACGACCGUCUCCGGGGGCACAAGGAAAUUCGUUUUUGGGGGACUUUAUGUUUAGGUCGCUGCAAACCAAGACAGGCUGGCGCCGUGCGCUCCUUCUCUCUCUCUCUCUCUCUCUCUGACACAGCAGAGGCCCACUGGGCCCACUAAAUAUAGUUAAACACACACAAUGGCUUCCAUUCAGCUGCCACACACACACACACACACACACACACACACACACACACACACACACACACACACACACACACACACACACACACACACACACACACACACACACACACACACACACACACACACACAGGCCUAAUAUCCAUUUUAAGGGCAUUUCCUCGAUUCGAAAGCAAUAACCAGGAUCACUAUGAGUGCCCUCGGGUAAUAGCGGACACAAGAAGGGAGAGGGAGGGAGGGAGAGAGGGACGGAGAGAGAGAGGGAGGAAGAAAGGGAGGGAGGGGGCGACAGAGAAGAAAGACCGGUAGGGUAGACAGAGACAGAGACUGAGAGAGACCGGUAGGGCAGACAGAGACAGAGACUGAGAGAGACCGUUAGGGUAGCAGGUAGACAGACAGACAGACAAAGAUAGAGAGAGAGAGGGACCAGUAGGGCAGACACAGACAGGGGUGGAAUGGCCAUCUGGCAUGCCGGGCAUCGUCCCGGUGGGCCGUUGACCCAAUGUGGGCCGGUCCGGUCCGCAAAGAUUUUUUUUUUUUCUCGCUCUCUCUAAAUUCCCUCCAAUUAGGCCGGCCAAUUGGCGACAGAGGGCUAGCAGUGUGUUGCCAGCAUCGACACAUAUUAUUGGUCUAUGUUUGUCAUUGUCAAUCAAUCAUGGGCUGACAGGCUCAGAGAGCCCUGACAGUGCUGUGAAUCACAACACAAACCAGGGUGGGCGGGACCUCAUGGCAUGGGCCGGAAUCGCGGGCCGGAAUCGCGGGACGGAGCUGAAAAUGGAUAAAAGCAAGAAACGCCCGGGUGGCGCUGAACAACUGCGACUUAAAAAGCUGAAGUCCCUGGAGGUGGAUGCUGCUAAAUGUUCAAAAUUGACAGACCUAUUUGGUGCCGGGGUUACCACCCAAGCAGGUGCUGCUGCGCCGGGAGACGAGCGAGUGGAGGCAUAUAUGGUUAGUAACGUUAGCCUUGGGCUAGCUUGGCUACAUUUUGAGACAUGUCCAAAACAGUGUGGAAAACGUUUUUACAUUGAAUGUGAUGUGACCUAAUUAACUGCAUACUUGUGACAACAUAUUAGCCCAGAGUUGAAGGGCUGUGACUGUUGGUAGUUGUGGUUGAUUUUUUUUUAAAUAUGCCGAAUUGUGAUAUUAUGGGUUAUUAUUGUUCAGAUGAUUUAGUCAGCAGUCUCUUGUUGCCAUAGCAACCAUAAACAUUGACAUGGACUCAUGAGCUGUAAAUAGAGAUGCAGAAUCAAGCUGUAUUGUAAAUACAGAUGAGAUACUUUGAAUUUUAGCACAAAAUACAAGUAAACCUAUAGGAAAUAAUUAGUUUAAUUUGCUAUAUUUGCCAUUGAAUUUAUUGUGUAACUUGUGUGUAACUUUAAUAUCUGUGUUUUAUUGUAGUUUUCAAAUGGCUGUGUAUAGUGCUGUUUUGAGCAUUUUCAGGUAUUUUUACAAAGAUCUGACUUAUUUGCAUUGGAAAACACUAGUGUCAUAAUCAAAACAUGACAAAGCCAUUAGUGUCGUUACGCUCUUGAACGUUUAGCACAAUAUUAACUAAUCUUUUAUCUUGUACAUUAUUCUGUGGUUUUGAGUUAUUUCCUCAUCCAAUGAUAAAUGCUUUCCCUAUGUCCAGCCCAGAGAGGUUCAGGGCAAGUCGAGCUGGUCAGUUCAGGGAGAGAGCCAGACCAAUGCAGGCAGCCCAAAGACUGCACCGCCUGAGAGGGAAAAGGCUGUAGAGAGUGAGGAGUGUGUCAGCCUUCACUGCACCAACGUUUAGCUGUUGAGUCUCCUCUAGUAUGGUUGACCACUUGACAUGUGAGAGCUUGAGGAGUUGUUCCCCCUCCAUUUUCAAGGACUUGCUCUCUUACUGCCUCCACUUCACCACUUUUUGGCCACUGAGUCGUCUCUGAUUUGUUGAGUUGACCACCCUAUAUAUGAGAGCCUAAGGAGUUGUUUUCCCUCUGUCCCCUUUUGAGGACCUGCUUUUUCUCCUCUAUCAUUCACUGGGCCACUUUUGGGUUCCCUUAGCUUAUUUCAUGUGGUGAGAGGAAUGCAAUAUGUGUAUGUUUAAAGGUUUAUGUGAGGAAACAUACUAUUAUGUGAUAAAAUGAAAAUUGGUAAUUCAUAAAUGUCUCUUUAUAUUCUCUGCUACCAU
This is a long non-coding RNA of Gadus macrocephalus (Pacific cod), 2772 nucleotides long. RefSeq lists it as uncharacterized. Lineage: Eukaryota; Metazoa; Chordata; Actinopteri; Gadiformes; Gadidae. The transcript has 3 exons. The record is from RefSeq and is a predicted model, not a curated record.